UUAGGAAGAGAACGCACUAAUGUGGGAAUUUGGGUCGUAUUUAUGAAGAGAAGAUACACAAACGUGGAUAUUUAGGUGGAAAUUUGGGUCUUGUUUAUGAAGAGAAUGCAUAAAUGUGGGAAUUUGGGUCUGUUUGUGAGGAGAGGGUAUGAAAAUGUGGGAAUUUGGGCCUUUUUUAGGAAGAGGACACACAGAUGUGGGUAUUUAGGUGGAAAUUUGGGCCUUGUUUAUGAAGAGAUGACACAUCGAUGUGGGAAUUUGGGUCUUAUGAAGAGAGGAUACACAAAUGUGGGUAUUUAGGUGGAAAUUUGGUCUUAUUGAGGAAGAGACAACACAUAAAUGUGGGAAUUUGGGUCUUUUUGUGAGGAGAGGGUACAAAAAUGUGGGAAUUUGGGGUCUUAUGAAGAGAAAAUACACAAAUGUGGGUGUUUAGGUGGGAAUUUGGGUGUUAUUUAGGAAGAGAACACACAAAUGUGGGAAUUUGGGUCUUAUUCAUGAAGAGAAGAUACACAAAUGUGGAUAUUUAGGUGAGAAUUUGGGUCCUGUUUAUGAAGAGAGGACACACACGUGUGGGAAUUUGGGUCUGUUUGUGAGGAGAGGGUACGAAAAUGUGGGAAUUGGGGCCUUUUUUAGGAAGAGGACACACAGAUGUGGGUAUUUAGGUGGAAAUUUGGGCCUUGUUUAUGAAGAGAUGACACAUAGAUGUGGGAAUUUGGGUCUUAUGAAGAGAGGAUACACAAAUGUGGAUAUUUAGGUGGAAAUUUGGGUCUUGUUUAGGAAGAUAGAGAAAUUUGGGUAUUUAGGUGGGAAUUUGGGUCUUAUUGAGGAAGAGAUAACACAUAAAUGUGGGAAUUUGGGUCUUUUUGUGAGGAGAGGGUACAAAGAUGUGGGAAUUUGGGGUCUUAUGAAGAGAAAAUAAACAAAUUUGGGUAUUUAGGUGGAAAUUUGGGUCUUGCUUAUGAAGAGAAUGCAUAAAUGUGGGAAUUUGGGUCUUAUUCAUGAAGAGAAGAUACACAAAUAUGGAUAUUUAGGUGAGAAUUUGGGUCUUGUUUAUGAAGAGAGGACACACACACGUGGGAAUUUGGGUCUGUUUGUGAGGAGAGGGUACGAAAAUGUGGGAAUUUGGGCCUUUUUUAGGAAGAGGACACACAGAUGUGGGUAUUUAGGUGGAAAUUUGGGCCUUGUUUAUGAAGAGAUGACACAUAGAUGUGGGAAUUUGGGUCUUAUGAAGAGAGGAUACACAAAUGUGGAUAUUUAGGUGGAAAUUUGGGUCUUGUUUAGGGAGAUACAGAAAUUUGGGUAUUUAGGUGGGAAUUUGGGUCUUAUUGAGGAAGAGACAACACAUAAAUGUGCGAAUUGGGGUCUUUUUGUGAGGAGAGGGUACAAAAAUGUGGGAAUUUGGG
RNAcentral lists this long non-coding RNA (1403 nucleotides) under Gallus gallus (chicken). RNAcentral describes it as "lncRNA (ENSGALG00010003776.1)". The record is from RNAcentral. Lineage: Eukaryota; Metazoa; Chordata; Aves; Galliformes; Phasianidae.